This 758-nucleotide long non-coding RNA is filed under the name Vigna radiata. Its description in RNAcentral is "long non-coding RNA (VRAD_LNC000318)". Lineage: Eukaryota; Viridiplantae; Streptophyta; Magnoliopsida; Fabales; Fabaceae. The record is from RNAcentral.
UCGUUUAAACCUAUGGUAUCUGUCACCACCACCCAUAUUCUGUUUAUUACAAAACCUCCUUUAUAUAGAAAAAAUAAAAAACCGAAAAAGAAGGAAAGGGGGAAAGGGGAAGAACUAAUUAACCGACUUUGAAGUUUCUCCAAUCAUCCCCAACUAACUCUAAUCAAUAGCUUUGCUCUUCAAUCAUCAACAGCUUCGCACGUUUCCAAUCAGGUCCCAUCUCCUUAUGGGUUGGCCUCCCUUGACCCGAUCAUCUUCUUUCUGGGCUUCGUCCAAAGUGGCCCAUGGAACUCGCUUCAAUGCUUCGCCAUAACACUUCUUCUCGCUAACGAACCUAGGUUGAGGGGAUGGGGAUAAUCAUCUUCCAAAUGGUUACGCUCCACUGCCUUUACUCCUUUACUGCUUCUUCAGACCCCAACUGCCAAAAACGCAACAUUUCAUUAAGUUAAAAGGAAAAUGGCAACUUCAGCCUAAUUCCAAAUGUAGCAUCAUCAACCCAAUAAAUGCAGGCCUAUCAGCGGUCCAGCAUUUCAAUGUAUGCCAAUGGCUUAAUUAAGGGGGUUACUCCCUGUACCUCCCCAAUUCUAACCCCCACCCCCCAUUCCAUUUUUAAGAUUUGUUUUAUUAGUUUACUUUUUAUAUUAAUUUUCAGAUAUUUUAAUAAUGGAAUUUAUAUGUUUUGAUGUAUUAUUUUUAAAUAUAUUUUUAACGUAUAAAUGGGAGAGUGAGAGUUGCAGAGAGCGUUUGGAGGAGGAGCG